UGCUCUGGCGCCGUCUUGUGGACACCUGCUCUAACAGCAACUCUCAGGUUUUCCUCCUCUCUCUGCCUCAGCCGCCCCCCAGGGCGGCACUGGCUGGGGGCAAUAUGCUCCUGGAAUGGCCUUCCCCCGCAGCUGCCGCCGCCGCCGCCGCCCCCGCCGCCGGCCUGAUCUAGCAAGAAGGGCCAAUCCAGGAGGGCCAUUGCUCUCUCAAAGGCUUUCGGAGCCUGGAGGCCCACCUCCACCUUGCCACUCCAUGCAAACCUUCAGCUCCCAACCCAUCCUAUCAGGACAGCCUUCUCCCUUUGGGAGAUAGCCCUGCCACGAUGCCGUUAUGGAGACAGGUCCGUAGUGUAUGGACCCCACCGCAGCUGGCCUGAGUUGUCUGCACGUCGAUGUUUUCCCAGCAGCAGAGGUGAGCACGCCCGCCACAGGGACAAAGACAGCUCUGUUCCCCAGGGGAUUGGGGGGACUCUUGGGGACACCUCCCUUUUCGCAGUCAAUCUACCAGCCUUAGGUCCGAUUUCCGGACCAGCUGAUUGAGGGAACGGAAGAGGCUCCAAGGUAAAGACAAGGACGGCGUUUCAGGAGACCUCAGGCGAGAAACUGCCCAGGGAUUAACACAGCUGCUCACCAAAGGAUCACCGUUUGACCACCUUCCAUGCACGACCCUCAGGCACUUUCCUCCUGGCACCAGAGCCCAGGUCAGCCUGGGGUCUCCCAAUCAACAGCUCGACCGCAGACACCAGCCAACAGCCCAACAAAACCCCAAACCCAAGGGGAAAAUGGCAAAAGACCUCAAGAGACAUUUCCCGAAACAGACAUGCAGAGGGCAAAAAGCACUGGGAGACAUGUGCCCCGCAUCCCUCAUGAGGAGAGACAUGCACGUCAAAGGGACUCUGAAGGACCAACCCACCUCUCUCUGAAGGGCCACCAUUAGGAAGUCUACAAGGCACACAUCCCUGAGAGGGUGUGGACAAGAAGAUGCCCUCCUCCACGGUGGGUAUUUUUGUACGUGUGGACAACCGCGAUGGACCACACGAUCGAGGGAAUCCACAAAAAUCAAUAGCGGACGACCUCAGCACCCAGGCCUCCCACUCUUGGUCCUAUUUCCGGAAUUGGGUCUUUGAAAAAUGUAAAAGCCCCCGCUAUGUUCAUGCAGCACACUUCCCAAUAGCCAGCCAUGGAAAACAACUCAAUGUCCAUCGAGAGAUGAUUGGAUUAGGAAGAGAGUGGAUAUGUACACAUUGGAAUGCUCCUCAAACAUUGAGAAAAAAAAAAAAA
This is a non-coding RNA of Sus scrofa (pig), 1281 nucleotides long. The record is from RefSeq and is a predicted model, not a curated record. NCBI's taxonomy places the organism in Eukaryota, Metazoa, Chordata, Mammalia, Artiodactyla, Suidae.